CUCAGAGCGAACGCUGGCGGCGUGUCUUAAACAUGCAAGUCGAGCGGCAGCGGGGGCUUCGGCCUGACCGGCGAGCGGCGAACGGGUGAGUAACACGUAAGUGACCUACCCCUGGGUGGGGGAUAACCAGCCGAAAGGUUGGCUAAUACCGCAUAAAGUCUUAUAGAUUAGAGGCUAUAGGAUGAAAGUCGAAAGACGCCCAGGGAGGGGCUUGCGUCCGAUUAGUUAGUUGGUGAGGUAAUGGCUCACCAAGGCGAUGAUCGGUAGCUGGCCUGAGAGGGUGGUCGGCCACACUGGGACUGGGACACGGGCCCAGACUCCUACGGGAGGCAGCAGUUAAGGAUAUUGCGCAAUGGGCGAAAGCCUGACGCAGCGACGCCGCGUGCCUGAAGAAGG
RNAcentral lists this ribosomal RNA (396 nucleotides) under uncultured delta proteobacterium. RNAcentral's name for it is "bacterial SSU rRNA". It matches the Rfam family "Bacterial small subunit ribosomal RNA", at positions 23 to 414 of the family's 1533-position model. The record is from RNAcentral. Lineage: Bacteria; Deltaproteobacteria.